RNAcentral lists this ribosomal RNA (515 nucleotides) under uncultured cyanobacterium. Its description in RNAcentral is "bacterial SSU rRNA". It matches the Rfam family "Bacterial small subunit ribosomal RNA", at positions 340 to 872 of the family's 1533-position model. The record is from RNAcentral. Lineage: Bacteria; Bacillati; Cyanobacteriota.
UACGGGAGGCAGCAGUGGGGAAUUUUCCGCAAUGGGCGCAAGCCUGACGGAGCAACGCCGCGUGAGGGAUGAAGGCCUCUGGGCUGUAAACCUCUUUUAUCAAGGAAGAAGAACUGACGGUACUUGAUGAAUAAGCCACGGCUAAUUCCGUGCCAGCAGCCGCGGUAAUACGGGAGUGGCAAGCGUUAUCCGGAAUUAUUGGGCGUAAAGCGUCCGCAGGCGGUUUUACAAGUCUGUCGUUAAAGCGUGGAGCUCAACUCCAUUUCAGCGAUGGAAACUGUAAGACUCGAGUGUGGUAGGGGCAGAGGGAAUUCCCGGUGUAGCGGUGAAAUGCGUAGAUAUCGGGAAGAACACCAGUGGCGAAAGCGCUCUGCUGGGCCAUAACUGACGCUCAUGGACGAAAGCCAGGGGAGCGAAAGGGAUUAGAUACCCCUGUAGUCCUGGCCGUAAACGAUGAACACUAGGUGUCGGGGGAAUCGACCCCCUCGGUGUCGUAGCCAACGCGUAAGUUCCGC